GCUGAAGUCGAUAUCUUCCUAGCUAGCCAC
RNAcentral lists this non-coding RNA (30 nucleotides) under Mus musculus (house mouse). The record is from RNAcentral. Lineage: Eukaryota; Metazoa; Chordata; Mammalia; Rodentia; Muridae.